This 1058-nucleotide small RNA is filed under the name uncultured Pelagibacterales bacterium. RNAcentral describes it as "bacterial SSU rRNA". The stretch from base 1 to 668 matches the Rfam family "Bacterial small subunit ribosomal RNA", at positions 867 to 1533 of the family's 1533-position model. The record is from RNAcentral. Lineage: Bacteria; Pseudomonadati; Pseudomonadota; Alphaproteobacteria; Candidatus Pelagibacterales.
CACCGCCUGGGGAGUACGACCGCAAGGUUAAAACUCAAAUGAAUUGACGGGGACCCGCACAAGUAGUGGAGCAUGUGGUUUAAUUCGAAGAUACGCGCAGAACCUUACCAACACUUGACAUGUUCGUCGCGACUUUAAGAGAUUAAAGUUUUCGGUUCGGCCGGACGAAACACAGGUGCUGCAUGGCUGUCGUCAGCUCGUGUCGUGAGAUGUUGGGUUAAGUCCCGCAACGAGCGCAACCCUCACUUUUAGUUGCCAUCAUUUAGUUGGGCACUCUGAAAGAACUGCCAGUGAUAAGCUGGAGGAAGGUGGGGAUGACGUCAAGUCCUCAUGGCCCUUACGUGUUGGGCUACACACGUGCUACAAUGAUAUCUACAACAGGAAGCAAGAUGGCAACAUUAAGCAAAUCCUAAAAAGAUAUCUCAGUUCGGAUUGCACUCUGCAACUCGAGUGCAUGAAGCUGGAAUUACUAGUAAUCGUGGAUCAGCGUGCCACGGUGAAUACGUUCCCGGGUCUUGUACACACCGCCCGUCACACCAUGGAAGUUGGUUACACCUUAAGGCAAAUUGUUAACCUUCGGGAAACAUUUGACUACGGUACGAUCAGCGACUGGGGUGAAGUCGUAACAAGGUAGCCGUAGGGGAACCUGCGGCUGGAUCACCUCCUUUCUAAGGAAAUCGAAAAUUUUUUUAUUUUCGAUUUAAAAAAAAACGGUAAUGUGACCGUCCUCAUUCCUCUUCUUUAAUAAUGUCUCUGAGUAAAUGUGAAAGGGGCCGGUAGCUCAGGUGGUUAGAGCGCACCCCUGAUAAGGGUGAGGUCGGAAGUUCGAGUCUUCCUCGGCCCACCAAUAUUACGGGGGAUUAGCUCAGCUGGGAGAGCGCCUGAUUUGCAUUCAGGAGGUCAGCGGUUCGAUCCCGCUAUCCUCCACCAAAAUUUGAGACAUUUAGCUUUUUUAAAUUGUGAAUAUUAUUAUCAAUAUCUAUAUCCGAUUGUUUUCAGAUAUAUUUUGAAAACAAUCACAACAAAAAUUUAAUUUAUUACAGAAAAGUUUUUUUCUG